Molecule: ribosomal RNA, 250 nt
Filed under: uncultured Actinomycetales bacterium
Lineage: Bacteria; Bacillati; Actinomycetota; Actinomycetes; Actinomycetales
Description: partial 16S ribosomal RNA
Rfam family: Bacterial small subunit ribosomal RNA
Source: RNAcentral
UGGGGUGCUCGAGUGGCGAACGGGUGAGUAACACGUGAGUAACCUGCCCUUGACUUUGGGAUAACUUCAGGAAACUGGGGCUAAUACCGGAUAGGAGCUCCUGCUGCAUGGUGGGGGUUGGAAAGUUUCGGCGGUUGGGGAUGGACUCGCGGCUUAUCAGCUUGUUGGUGGGGUAGUGGCUUACCAAGGCUUUGACGGGUAGCCGGCCUGAGGGGGUGACCGGCCGCAUUGGGACUGAGAUACGGCCCAG